This 429-nucleotide ribosomal RNA is filed under the name Bacillota bacterium. Its description in RNAcentral is "Firmicutes bacterium partial 16S ribosomal RNA". It matches the Rfam family "Bacterial small subunit ribosomal RNA", at positions 355 to 776 of the family's 1533-position model. Lineage: Bacteria; Bacillati; Bacillota. The record is from RNAcentral.
UGGGGAAUUUUGGACAAUGGGGGCAACCCUGAUCCAGCAAUGCCGCGUGUGUGAAGAAGGCCUUCGGGUUGUAAAGCACUUUUGUCCGGGAAGAAAUCGCACCUGAUAAUACCGGGUGUGGAUGACGGUACCGGAAGAAUAAGGACCGGCUAACUACGUGCCAGCAGCCGCGGUAAUACGUAGGGUCCAAGCGUUAAUCGGAAUUACUGGGCGUAAAGCGUGCGCAGGCGGUUGUGCAAGACCGAUGUGAAAUCCCCGGGCUUAACCUGGGAAUUGUAUUGGUGACUGCACGGCUAGAGUGUGUCAGAGGGGGGUAGAAUUCCACGUGUAGCAGUGAAAUGCGUAGAGAUGUGGAGGAAUACCGAUGGCGAAGGCAGCCCCCUGGGAUAACACUGACGCUCAUGCACGAAAGCGUGGGGAGCAAACAGG